Non-coding RNA from Plectropomus leopardus (leopard coralgrouper), 437 nucleotides. Lineage: Eukaryota; Metazoa; Chordata; Actinopteri; Perciformes; Serranidae. The record is from RefSeq and is a predicted model, not a curated record.
CACUCCGUCUCGCUCAGCUGGAUUUUUAGGUACGAGCAGCCCGGGGCCGAUGGCGGACCUUUAUGGAACAGCCAGUCAGGAGUCAGCUGUCAGCAGUUACCUCAGCGCUGCAAGCCCCGCCCCAAGCACUGGAUUCAGCCAUAGUUUGGGGGGCCCUUUGAUCGCCACGGCCUUCACUAACGGCUAUCACUGAGAGAAGCAGAGCUGUAGACCUAGAGCUGGAAGGAGUUGAAGCUGCUUUGGAGCUGAUCUGGCCUGUCUCUGUCCGCUCCGCCUCUCCGGCUGGUGCAGCUGAACCUUCACCCCUCCACCCCUGGUGUCAGCCUGAUCCCAGCCCACCCUACUGACGCCUCACUAAACUCCACCUCCUGAGGAAAAAACAAGUUCAUAAAAGGAGUGAAAAAGUUUAUCACUACAUGUAAUAGCAACACAUACAC